Molecule: ribosomal RNA, 473 nt
Filed under: uncultured bacterium
Lineage: Bacteria
Description: bacterial SSU rRNA
Rfam family: Bacterial small subunit ribosomal RNA
Source: RNAcentral
ACUCCUACGGGAGGCAGCAGUGGGGAAUAUUGCACAAUGGGCGCAAGCCUGAUGCAGCCAUGCCGCGUGUGUGAAGAAGGCCUUCGGGUUGUAAAGCACUUUCAGUCGUGAGGAAGGUAGUGUAGUUAAUAGCUGCAUUAUUUGUACGUUAGCGACAGAAGAAGCACCGGCUAACUCCGUGCCAGCAGCCGCGGUAAUACGGAGGGUGCGAGCGUUAAUCGGAAUUACGUGGGCGUAAAGCGCAUGCAGGUGGUUUGUUAAGUCAGAUGUGAAAGCCCGGGGCUCAACCUCGGAAUUGCAUUUGAAACUGGCAGACUAGAGUACUGUAGAGGGGGUAGAAUUUCAGGUGUAGCGGUGAAAUGCGUAGAGAUCUGAAGGAAUACCGGUGGCGAAGGCGGCCCCUGGACAGAUACUGACACUCAGAUGCGAAAGCGUGGGAGCAAACAGGAUUAGAUACCCCUGGUAGCGACUGA